RNAcentral lists this ribosomal RNA (497 nucleotides) under uncultured bacterium. Its description in RNAcentral is "partial 16S ribosomal RNA". It matches the Rfam family "Bacterial small subunit ribosomal RNA", at positions 28 to 507 of the family's 1533-position model. The record is from RNAcentral.
GAUGAACGCUGGCGGCGUGCCUAAUACAUGCAAGUCGAGCGAACAGACGAGGAGCUUGCUCCUCUGACGUUAGCGGCGGACGGGUGAGUAACACGUGUAUAACCUACCUAUAAGACUGGGAUAACUUCGGGAAACCGGAGCUAAUACCGGAUAAUAUAUUGAACCGCAUGGUUCAAUAGUAAAAGACGGUUUUGCUGUCACUUAUAGAUGGAUCCGCGCCGCAUUAGCUAGUUGGUAAGGUAACGGCUUACCAAGGCAACGAUGCGUAGCCGACCUGAGAGGGUGAUCGGCCACACUGGAACUGAGACACGGUCCAGACUCCUACGGGAGGCAGCAGUAGGGAAUCUUCCGCAAUGGGCGAAAGCCUGACGGAGCAACGCCGCGUGAGUGAUGAAGGUCUUCGGAUCGUAAAACUCUGUUAUUAGGGAAGAACAAAUGUGUAAGUAACUAUGCACGUCUUGACGGUACCUAAUCAGAAAGCAACGGCUAACUACGUG